GUAGCCGGCCACACAAGUCCAUCGGGAAAUCCGCCAGCCUAACUGGCGGGCGUCCGGUGGAAACUGUGUGGCUUGGGAUCGGAAGACCCAACGGGUACGUCUUGGGUAGGAGUGAAAUCCUGUAAUCCUGGACGGACCACCGAUAGCGAAAGCACGUUGGGAAGACGAAUCCGACGCUGAGGGACGAAAGCCAGGGUCUCGAACCGGAUUAGAUACCCGGGUAGUCCUGGCCGUAAACGAUGUCUGCUAGGUGUGGCUCCCGCUACGAGCGGGUGCUGUGCCGUAGGGAAGCCGCUAAGCAGACCGCCUGGGAAGUACGUCCGCAAGGAUGAAACUUAAAGGAAUUGGCGGGGGAGCACUACAACCGGAGGAGCCUGCGGUUUAAUUGGACUCAACGCCGGACAUCUCACCAGCAUCGACAACGGUAAUGACGGUCAGGUUGAUGACCUUUCCAGAGCCGUUGAGAGGAGGUGCAUGGCCGCCGUCAGCUCGUACCGUGAGGCGUCCUGUUAAGUCAGGCAACGAGCGAGACCCGCACUCCUAAUUGCCAGCACCGGCUUCGGCCGGGUGGGUACAUUAGGAGGACUGCCGUGGCUAACACGGAGGAAGGAACGGGCAACGGUAGGUCAGUAUGCCCCGAAUGUGCUGGGCUACACGCGGGCUACAAUGGCCGAGACAAUGGGUUCCCACCUCGAAAGAGGGCGGUAAUCUCCUAAACUCGGUCGUAGUUCGGAUUGAGGGCUGAAACCCGCCC
RNAcentral lists this ribosomal RNA (754 nucleotides) under uncultured Halobacteria archaeon. RNAcentral describes it as "bacterial SSU rRNA". It matches the Rfam family "Archaeal small subunit ribosomal RNA", at positions 521 to 1273 of the family's 1478-position model. The record is from RNAcentral. Lineage: Archaea; Methanobacteriati; Methanobacteriota; Halobacteria.